GAUGAACGCUGGCGGCGUGCCUAAUACAUGCAAGUCGAGCGAACGGACGAGAAGCUUGCUUCUCUGAUGUUAGCGGCGGACGGGUGAGUAACACGUGGAUAACCUACCUAUAAGACUGGGAUAACUUCGGGAAACCGUAGCUAAUACCGGAUAAUAUUUUGAACCGCAUGGUUCAAAAGUGAAAGACGGUCUUGCUGUCACUUAUAGAUGGAUCCGCGCUGCAUUAGCUAGUUGGUAAGGUAACGGCUUACCAAGGCAACGAUGCAUAGCCGACCGGAGAGGGUGAUCGGCCACACUGGAACUGAGACACGGUCCAGACUCCUACGGGAGGCAGCAGUAGGGAAUCGUCGGCAAUGGGCGAAAGCCUGACGGAGCAACGCCGCGUGAGUGAUGAAGGUCUUCGGAUCGUAAAACCGUGUUAUUAGGGAAGAACAUAUGUGUAAGUAACUGUGCACAUCUUGACGGUACCUAAUCAGAAAGCCACGGCUAACUACGUG
RNAcentral lists this ribosomal RNA (497 nucleotides) under uncultured bacterium. Its description in RNAcentral is "partial 16S ribosomal RNA". It matches the Rfam family "Bacterial small subunit ribosomal RNA", at positions 28 to 507 of the family's 1533-position model. The record is from RNAcentral.